This 21-nucleotide non-coding RNA is filed under the name Caenorhabditis elegans. Lineage: Eukaryota; Metazoa; Nematoda; Chromadorea; Rhabditida; Rhabditidae. The record is from RNAcentral.
UGCAUAGCCUGAAUCUGCCUG